AGAGUUUGAUCAUGGCUCAGAUUGAACGCUGGCGGCAGGCCUAACACAUGCAAGUCGAACGGUAACAGGAAGCAGCUUGCUGCUUUGCUGACGAGUGGCGGACGGGUGAGUAAUGUCUGGGAAACUGCCUGAUGGAGGGGGAUAACUACUGGAAACGGUAGCUAAUACCGCAUAACGUCGCAAGACCAAAGAGGGGGACCUUCGGGCCUCUUGCCAUCGGAUGUGCCCAGAUGGGAUUAGCUAGUAGGUGGGGUAAAGGCUCACCUAGGCGACGAUCCCUAGCUGGUCUGAGAGGAUGACCAGCCACACUGGAACUGAGACACGGUCCAGACUCCUACGGGAGGCAGCAGUGGGGAAUAUUGCACAAUGGGCGCAAGCCUGAUGCAGCCAUGCCGCGUGUAUGAAGAAGGCCUUCGGGUUGUAAAGUACUUUCAGCGGGGAGGAAGGGAGUAAAGUUAAUACCUUUGCUCAUUGACGUUACCCGCAGAAGAAGCACCGGCUAACUCCGUGCCAGCAGCCGCGGUAAUACGGAGGGUGCAAGCGUUAAUCGGAAUUACUGGGCGUAAAGCGCACGCAGGCGGUUUGUUAAGUCAGAUGUGAAAUCCCCGGGCUCAACCUGGGAACUGCAUCUGAUACUGGCAAGCUUGAGUCUCGUAGAGGGGGGUAGAAUUCCAGGUGUAGCGGUGAAAUGCGUAGAGAUCUGGAGGAAUACCGGUGGCGAAGGCGGCCCCCUGGACGAAGACUGACGCUCAGGUGCGAAAGCGUGGGGAGCAAACAGGAUUAGAUACCCUGGUAGUCCACGCCGUAAACGAUGUCGACUUGGAGGUUGUGCCCUUGAGGCGUGGCUUCCGGAGCUAACGCGUUAAGUCGACCGCCUGGGGAGUACGGCCGCAAGGUUAAAACUCAAAUGAAUUGACGGGGGCCCGCACAAGCGGUGGAGCAUGUGGUUUAAUUCGAUGCAACGCGAAGAACCUUACCUGGUCUUGACAUCCACGGAAGUUUUCAGAGAUGAGAAUGUGCCUUCGGGAACCGUGAGACAGGUGCUGCAUGGCUGUCGUCAGCUCGUGUUGUGAAAUGUUGGGUUAAGUCCCGCAACGAGCGCAACCCUUAUCCUUUGUUGCCAGCGGUCCGGCCGGGAACUCAAAGGAGACUGCCAGUGAUAAACUGGAGGAAGGUGGGGAUGACGUCAAGUCAUCAUGGACCUUACGACCAGGGCUACACACGUGCUACAAUGGCGCAUACAAAGAGAAGCGACCUCGCGAGAGCAAGCGGACCUCAUAAAGUGCGUCGUAGUCCGGAUUGGAGUCUGCAACU
Molecule: ribosomal RNA, 1314 nt
Filed under: Escherichia coli GSK202B
Lineage: Bacteria; Pseudomonadati; Pseudomonadota; Gammaproteobacteria; Enterobacterales; Enterobacteriaceae
Also listed under: 4 other names
Description: bacterial SSU rRNA
Rfam family: Bacterial small subunit ribosomal RNA
Source: RNAcentral